AGGGAAUCUUCCACAAUGGACGCAAGUCUAAUGGAGCAACGCCGCGUGAGUGAAGAAGGUUUUCGGACCGUAAAGCUCUGUUGUUGGUGAAGAAGGAUAGAGGUAGUAACUGGCCUUUAUUUGACGGUAAUCAACCAGAAAGUCACGGCUAACUACGUGCCAGCAGCCGCGGUAAUACGUAGGUGGCAAGCGUUGUCCGGAUUUAUUGGGCGUAAAGCGAGCGCAGGCGGAAGAAUAAGUCUGAUGUGAAAGCCCUCGGCUUAACCGAGGAAUUGCAUCGGAAACUGUUUUCUUGAGUGCAGAAGAGGAGAGUAGAACUCCAUGUGUAGCGGUGGAAUGCGUAGAUAUAUGGAAGAAUACCAGUGGCGAAGGCGGCUCUCUGGUCUGCAACUGACGCUGAGGCUCGAAAGCAUGGGUAGCGAACAGGAUUAGAUACCCUGGUAGUCCAUGCCGUAAACGAUGAGUGCUAAGUGUUGGGAGGCUUCCGCCUCUCAGUGCUGCAGCUAACGCAUUAAGCACUCCGCCUGGGGGAGUACGACCGCAAGGUUGAA
Molecule: ribosomal RNA, 551 nt
Filed under: uncultured bacterium
Lineage: Bacteria
Description: partial 16S ribosomal RNA
Rfam family: Bacterial small subunit ribosomal RNA
Source: RNAcentral